This 564-nucleotide ribosomal RNA is filed under the name Triticum aestivum (bread wheat). RNAcentral describes it as "partial small subunit ribosomal RNA". The record is from RNAcentral. Lineage: Eukaryota; Viridiplantae; Streptophyta; Magnoliopsida; Poales; Poaceae.
AUGUUCAUCAACACUUACCUGACGGAGAUUAAAGCAACAACACAAGCUAGCAAUGGUAAUGAGCCAGGUCAACCGGCCCCUGCUAGAUGGAUAGCACCGCCGGAGAACCACGCAAAGCUAAACGUCGAUGCAUCGGUAAGCAGGGGAGGCAGCUUCGGAGCAGUGGGAGCAAUAUGCAGAGAUCAUGCGGGGAUGUUCUUGGGUGCGUCGGCAAUGCGCUUCAGAUUGGGAGAUCCAGCUACCCUUGAGACUCUAGCCAUUAGAGAAGGACUGGACUUGUGCAGGGAUUUGAACUUGCAACAUAUUCAUGCUGCGUCUGACUGUAAAGGAGUAGUCCAAGAGGUACAAAAGGGCAGCGGAGCGACUUAUGGAGCGAUUAUCCAAGAAAUCAAGCAACAAUUCUCUUUUUUCACUUCAUGUAAUUUAGUUCAUGAGUCUAGGAGAUCGAAUGUCAAUGCUCACAACUUAGCGAGACAUGCACUGUCACUAGCGUCGGGGUGCCAUGUGUGGUUUGGCCAGCCCGACGGGAUUCCUUUGGUCCUUGUAAACAGUGUGACGAGUUAA